UUAAGACCUCUUGCCUUGCAAGCUGUAAUGAAGUGUGAACAUGGAAGGUGCAACAAUUGAGGAACGUUGCAGGUGCACGAAACUUCAUUCAGAUCCACUCUGUAGUGUCGGCCUCCAUGACUCUCACCCCCAAUGUUAUUAGUACCGCAACUUCUUAUAGAAUACACCAUCCUUUCUGGACCAUACGUUUCUGCUAAGUGUUGCACGGAUCUAAGCUCAGCCUGUGAUAAUUAAUCAUCUGCAACUUUCCCAAUUCUAUGGUCUUCAUCUAACAUUGCACGUACCUUUUGCCAUCGGUCCACAAAGUAGGCGUUGCAUUUUUCGAAUGAGUAUUCAAUAAUUCCAGAGACGGGCCUACUUCGGAUGCCUUUGAAAACAGCAUUUAAUGAUUCCGAGUAGUUCGUGGUCAUAAUACCCC
RNAcentral lists this long non-coding RNA (418 nucleotides) under Setaria viridis. RNAcentral's name for it is "long non-coding RNA (SVIR_LNC007034)". The record is from RNAcentral. Lineage: Eukaryota; Viridiplantae; Streptophyta; Magnoliopsida; Poales; Poaceae.